Long non-coding RNA from Drosophila miranda, 1006 nucleotides. RefSeq lists it as uncharacterized. The record is from RefSeq and is a predicted model, not a curated record. The transcript is spliced from 2 exons. Lineage: Eukaryota; Metazoa; Arthropoda; Insecta; Diptera; Drosophilidae.
UAACACGGAACUUGUAAUCUAACACGCUUUUCGUUUACGUUUAUUCGGUUCCACCCAAUCCCAUAUGCACACACAGCCAAGUGCGUAUUUGAGAUAUAGUAAGGUAUGUAAUCGUAUAGGUAGAGCGAUUAGAGCGGGCGACCAUAAACCGGAAACAUUUUACUCUCACACAACCGAAGGCACAACGCGUCGAUGGCUUCCAACUGCCGACUGAGACUGACGGAUUAUAUAUUAGCCGUCAAAAGCUAUUGAAUAUUGGCAACAAUUGGGUAAAUCGAAUCGAAUCGAAUCGAAACAUGUGCGCCCCCGAAAGGGCGUGUCGGCGAGUAAAUACACCGUUUCUUAUCUGCACUUUGCUCGCGUCGGUUAUCGCAGGUUGAAUAAAUGUCUAAAAUGACCAAGUACGAGUACCAAGUAUUUGACCACUCAAUGAGACAGUGAUGUUAUGUACGCGCCAGUACGAGACGACUGCUUUACUUGACUACCAUAGCGCUAAGGUCGUGCCUCGAUCAGUACGUUUCGAUCAUAGUUCAAGCGAUUGAAUGUAUUAAAACUAUAUCUUUGCCAGUCUACUAUAUAGAACAUACAUACAUACAUAUAUGUUAUACAGAAGUUGGUUCCCGUAGAGAAGUGAGAUUGAAGUUUAGCCAAAGUUUCCAAAUUACUUCUAUUCCAUUCAUUAUCCACCCCAUUAUUGGGUUUGGAAUCUCCCACUUGAACAGUCUACAGAAUCUAUCAAUCAAAUGUUCGUACAAUUAUUCCGCAGCAAAGACACAUACUACAUAAGUACAUAUGCUUGGUGAUUAUUCAGUAUCUCGAUCAGACAGAGACAUAUUAAAUCUCUCUGUCUGUAUAAGUCUGACGGAAUUUCCUUGUAUUAUUCCUAGUGGAAACUUACACAUCAGCUCAUCUACAGGCGAAGCGGCAGGGCUUGGGCUGGGGCUAUGGCUGGGGGCAGUAGACAACAUGUAAUCGGAGGAACUUUGACGCUUGUUUUGAUGUUGUU